UGUUUUUUUGUAUUUUUUUU
RNAcentral lists this small RNA (20 nucleotides) under Arabidopsis thaliana (thale cress). RNAcentral's name for it is "ATSL004050". Lineage: Eukaryota; Viridiplantae; Streptophyta; Magnoliopsida; Brassicales; Brassicaceae. The record is from RNAcentral.